This 1045-nucleotide ribosomal RNA is filed under the name Frigoribacterium sp. 749G41. Its description in RNAcentral is "bacterial SSU rRNA". It matches the Rfam family "Bacterial small subunit ribosomal RNA", at positions 66 to 1125 of the family's 1533-position model. The record is from RNAcentral. Lineage: Bacteria; Bacillati; Actinomycetota; Actinomycetes; Micrococcales; Microbacteriaceae.
ACGAUGACCCAGAGCUUGCUCUGGUGAUUAGUGGCGAACGGGUGAGUAACACGUGAGUAACCUGCCCUUGACUCUGGGAUAAGCACUGGAAACGGUGUCUAAUACCGGAUACGACAACCGAUGGCAUCGUCUGGUUGUGGAAAGAAUUUUGGUCAAGGAUGGACUCGCGGCCUAUCAGCUAGUUGGUGAGGUAAUGGCCCACCAAGGCGACGACGGGUAGCCGGCCUGAGAGGGUGACCGGCCACACUGGGACUGAGACACGGCCCAGACUCCUACGGGAGGCAGCAGUGGGGAAUAUUGCACAAUGGGCGAAAGCCUGAUGCAGCAACGCCGCGUGAGGGACGACGGCCUUCGGGUUGUAAACCUCUUUUAGUAGGGAAGAAGCGAAAGUGACGGUACCUGCAGAAAAAGCACCGGCUAACUACGUGCCAGCAGCCGCGGUAAUACGUAGGGUGCAAGCGUUAUCCGGAAUUAUUGGGCGUAAAGAGCUCGUAGGCGGUUUGUCGCGUCUGCUGUGAAAACUGGAGGCUCAACCUCCAGCCUGCAGUGGGUACGGGCAGACUAGAGUGCGGUAGGGGAGAUUGGAAUUCCUAGUGUAGCGGUGGAAUGCGCAGAUAUCAGGAGGAACACCGAUGGCGAAGGCAGAUCUCUGGGCCGUAACUGACGCUGAGGAGCGAAAGCAUGGGGAGCGAACAGGAUUAGAUACCCUGGUAGUCCAUGCCGUAAACGUUGGGAACUAGAUGUAGGGACCAUUCCACGGUUUCUGUGUCGCAGCUAACGCAUUAAGUUCCCCGCCUGGGGAGUACGGCCGCAAGGCUAAAACUCAAAGGAAUUGACGGGGGCCCGCACAAGCGGCGGAGCAUGCGGAUUAAUUCGAUGCAACGCGAAGAACCUUACCAAGGCUUGACAUAUACCGGAAAAGUUCAGAAAUGUUCUCCCCGCAAGGUCGGUAUACAGGUGGUGCAUGGUUGUCGUCAGCUCGUGUCGUGAGAUGUUGGGUUAAGUCCCGCAACGAGCGCAACCCUCGUUCUAUGUUGCCAGCACG